UUACCUAGACUUGACAUCCCCUGAAUUACCGGUAAUGCGGGAAGCCCUUCGGGGCAGGGAGACAGGUGGUGCAUGGUUGUCGUCAGCUCGUGUCGUGAGAUGUUAGGUUAAGUCCUGCAACGAGCGCAACCCCUAUCAUUAGUUGCUACCAUUAAGUUGAGCACUCUAGUGAGACUGCCUGGGUUAACCAGGAGGAAGGUGGGGAUGACGUCAAAUCAUCAUGCCCCUUAUGUCUAGGGCUACACACGUGCUACAAUGGUGGGUACAAAGAGAUGCAAGACCGCAAGGUGGAGCAAAACUCAAAAACCCACCCCAGUUCGGAUUGUAGGCUGAAACUCGCCUACAUGAAGCCGGAGUUGCUAGUAAUCGCGAAUCAGAAUGUCGCGGUGAAUACGUUCCCGGGCCUUGUACACACCGCCCGUCACACCAUGAGAGCUGGCAACACCCGAAGUCCGUGAGGUAACCGUAAGGAGCCAGCGGCCGAAGGUGGGGUUAGUGAUUGGGGUGAAGUCGUAACAAGGUAGCC
Molecule: ribosomal RNA, 526 nt
Filed under: uncultured bacterium
Lineage: Bacteria
Description: bacterial SSU rRNA
Rfam family: Bacterial small subunit ribosomal RNA
Source: RNAcentral